GAUGAACGCUGGCGGCGUGCCUAAUACAUGCAAGUCGAGCGAACAGACGAGGAGCUUGCUCCUCUGACGUUAGCGGCGGACGGGUGAGUAACACGUGGAUAACCUACCUAUAAGACUGGGAUAACUUCGGGAAACCGGAGCUAAUACCGGAUAAUAUAUUGAACCGCAUGGUUCAAUAGUGAAAGACGGUUUUGCUGUCACUUAUAGAUGGAUCCGCGCCGCAUUAGCUAGUUGGUAAGGUAACGGCUUACCAAGGCAACGAUGCGUAGCCGACCUGAGAGGGUGAUCGGCCAAACGGGAAUUGAGACACGGUCCAGACUCCUAGGGGAGGAAGCAGUAGGGAAUCUUCCGCAAUGGGCGAAAGCCGGACGGAGCAACGCCGCGUGGGUAAUGAAGGUCUUCGGAUCGUAAAACGCUGUUAUUAGGAAAGAAAAAAUGGGUAAGUAACUAGGAACGUCUGGACGGUACCUAAGCAGAAAGCAACGGCUAACUACGU
Molecule: ribosomal RNA, 496 nt
Filed under: uncultured bacterium
Lineage: Bacteria
Description: partial 16S ribosomal RNA
Rfam family: Bacterial small subunit ribosomal RNA
Source: RNAcentral